GUUUUAAAUUUCAAGUAUAUAGUUACGGAAAUAAUAAUUUUAGUUUAAUACCAUCAUCAGGUUGUAUAACAUGAUGUCUUAUAUGUUAUAACUCGUGAAGACUUGUUUUUAAACAAUUAAUUCCAUAAAUUAUGUAUAAAAGUGUCAAUUAUCUCAAAUCUACUAUGUUGUAUUUGUUCAUCAAUAUUUUAAUAGCAUAUUAUUUUGUCGUUAGUUUUGUCGUGUUUUGCAUCUCAUGAUUAGCCUGAGUAGGUAUACGACGUACACGCACAUUCUUACAAUUAUAUCAUAGAAAAUAAAUGAGCAAUGCUAUUAAUUAUGUCUGAUGUGUGUAUUCAUUACUGACCCAUACUGGCCAUACAGUAUUGUUAGUUAUUACCUAAUUGUUAGUUGUUUAAUAUUAUUUGUUUGACUCAAGUCUAAAAUCGAUGAAAUGGAGGAAUGUAUGAAGUAAGCAUCAUUUUUACUUAAUACUUACCUAGGUACCUAUUUUAUUACUUAAUACAUAUUUUACUAAAUACCAUUACUUGAUGCACAUAGCGUGAUGAACUCAUCCAUACAAUACCAAUAUUAAUAUAUUAUUUAAUUUUUGAGAUUUUUACCAAAACAUAAAAAAAAAAUUGAAUUAUAAGAAUUUGAAGCUUUAUCCAUGUGAGUAAUAUAUAAAAAAAAAUUAAAUUAAAUUAAUUAAUUAAUAAUAAUAAUAAUUAAUUAAAAAAUUAAAAUAAAUAGAAAUUAUCUCUGGGGAUAAUACAGUGGGAAUAUCUUUGUGGGACACUGUAUAUUAUACAUAACAAUUUUAUUUCGUUUAAUAAACAGUCCAUCAAUUAAUAUCUGAAGUGUUGUUUGGUUAUUUUAGUAUGCAGAUUUUAGAUACAUUUUAAAUUUUUUUAUGUUAUAAUUAAUAUUUUCCAGAGGUCAAAAUUAUUAACUUAUGGUGGAGCUAACAUAUCAAGUGCAACAAAAAUUAUUUUUACAAAAAUGUUAUCAAAUGAACUUGGAACUAAGAUCACAUUGACUGUAUUAUCUGCAAUAGGACUGGACCUGAAAAAAAAAAACAAGUAUUCUCAAAACAAAUGUUUGAACUUCUUAUAGGUGAAAAUAAACAAUUUGCACCUUUACAAAUAAUAAAUUAAUACAAUUGCAAGCCUGGAAUAUGUUUUUGGAAAAAAUUUGAAUUUACCUACUUUUAGUCAUCUCUUAUUUUAAUAUAAUAUUUCUGUAAUUUUGUUUUUUGUGACGUACAUUUUGAAGAUGAUUGAAUAAAUUAGAGGGAAAACUUGAAUAAAAUAUGUAUGUAUAUACAUUUAUAUUUAAUAAGUAAAAAUAAAUUACCAAAAAGUAAAAAAUGAAUUGCAUUUUAAAUUAGUAUAAUUUAUGUGUUUUAGAUAUUUAAAAAAAUGUUUUUCAAGUAUUACUUAAAAGUUAGUGAAGAAAUCAAUUAGUAAAUGGUUAAAGCAGGCCAAAGACCGCCUAAGCAGGGAAAAGCUUAAUACUAAUGAUAAUAAUUCAGACAUAAUUGUUUUUACUAAAACUAUAUGAAUAUGUUAUAUAAUAAAUUAUUAUUUUUUACUUAUUAUUUCCCUACUGUUUCCUUUGUUUCUAGAGCUCUAAUAAUUAUAACUGGC
Molecule: non-coding RNA, 1628 nt
Organism: Cinara cedri
Lineage: Eukaryota; Metazoa; Arthropoda; Insecta; Hemiptera; Aphididae
Source: the annotation of a GenBank genome assembly